UACCUGCCCAGUGCGAAAUAUUAAUGUAAACGGCCGCCCUAGCGUGAGGGUGCUAAGGUAGCGAAAUUCCUUGCCUUUUGAUUGUAGGCCUGCAUGAAUGGUUUAACGAGGGUUUAGCUGUCUCUAAAUUUUUAAUUGAAAUUGUAUUGAAGGUGAAGAUACCUUCAUUUAAAAGUUAGACAAAAAGACCCCGUGCAACUUUGAAAAUUAACUUUAUUCAGGGGUAAAAGAUUUUUAGGUGGGGCGCCUAGAAAGUAAGCCUAACCUUUCUGAGUAGGAGUUUCUUUCAGGAGUUGACCCGAUUAUAUUCGAUCAUAGGAGAAGUUACGCCGGGGAUAACAGGCUAAUCCUUUAGUAGAGCUCGUAUUGGCUAAAGGGAUUGGCACCUCGAUGUUGAAUCAGGGAUGAUAGCUUCAAGGCGUAGAGGCUUUGAGAGUAGGUCUGUUCGACC
Molecule: ribosomal RNA, 451 nt
Filed under: Magallana bilineata (tropical oyster)
Lineage: Eukaryota; Metazoa; Mollusca; Bivalvia; Ostreida; Ostreidae
Description: partial large subunit ribosomal RNA
Rfam family: Bacterial large subunit ribosomal RNA
Source: RNAcentral